This 625-nucleotide long non-coding RNA is filed under the name Homo sapiens (human). RNAcentral's name for it is "non-protein coding lnc-ARFGAP3-1:1". The record is from RNAcentral. Lineage: Eukaryota; Metazoa; Chordata; Mammalia; Primates; Hominidae.
GAAUCGAACCCUCAGCCGGAGAGAGAAGAAGAAGGCCACUGACGGCGUCACCCUGACGGGCAUCAACCAGACAGGCGACCAGUCUCUGCCGAGUAAGCCCAGCAGCACCCUUAAUGUCCCGAGCAACCCCGCCCAGUCUGCGCAGUCACAGUCCAGCUACAACCCCUUCGAGGAUGAGGACGACACGGGCAGCACCGUCAGUGAGAAGGACGACACUAAGGCCAAAAAUGUGAGCAGCUACGAGAAGACCCAGAGCUAUCCCACCGACUGGUCAGACGAUGAGUCUAACAACCCCUUCUCCUCCACGGAUGCCAAUGGGGACUCGAAUCCAUUCGACGACGACGCCACCUCGGGGACGGAAGUGCGAGUCCGGGCCCUGUAUGACUAUGAGGGGCAGGAGCAUGAUGAGCUGAGCUUCAAGGCUGAGACGGGGUUUCACCAUAUUAUCCAGUCUGGUCUUGAACUCCUGAGCUCAAGUGAUCCUCCCGCCUCAGCCUCCCAAAGUGCUGGGAUCACAGGCAUGAGCCCCUGAGACUGCAAAUAAACCAUGCUUUAGAGAAGGUGUGUUUUGAUUGUGGUGCCAAAAAUCCCAGCUGGGCAAGCAUAACCUAUGGAGUGUUCCUUU